Molecule: long non-coding RNA, 424 nt
Organism: Numida meleagris (helmeted guineafowl)
Lineage: Eukaryota; Metazoa; Chordata; Aves; Galliformes; Numididae
Source: Ensembl
UCACAUUGGCGUUGUUGGGGCUCACAUUGGGGUUCACUUUGGGGCUCACGUUGGUGUUGUUGGGGCUCAUGUUGGGGUUCACUUUGGGGUUCACAUUGGCGUUGUUGGGGCUCACGUUGGGGUUCACUUUGGGGUUCACAUGGGUGUUGUUGGAGUUCACGUUGGGGCUCACAUUGGCGUUCACAUUGGCGUUGUUGGGGCUCAAAUUGGGCUUCAUUUUGGGGUUCACAUGGGCGUUGUUGGGGCUCACGUUGGGGUUCACUUUGGGGUUCACAUGGGUGUUGUUGGGGCUCACGUUGGGCUUCAUUUUGGGGUUCACAUGGGUGUUGUUGGGGCUCACGUUGGGCUUCACUUUGGGGCUCACGUUGGUGUUGUUGGGGCUCAUGUUGGGGUUCACUUUGGGGUUCACAUGGGUGUUGUUGGG